Molecule: ribosomal RNA, 123 nt
Filed under: Dipodomys ordii (Ord's kangaroo rat)
Lineage: Eukaryota; Metazoa; Chordata; Mammalia; Rodentia; Heteromyidae
Source: RNAcentral
GUUUAUGACCAUUCGACCUUGAACAUGCCUGAUUUUGUCUGAUCUUAGACACUAAACAGGGUACGUUCUGGUUAAUACUUGUCUAGGAUAAAUAUAUCACAUGGUCACCUAGAGUCACAAGAG